Molecule: ribosomal RNA, 531 nt
Filed under: Azospirillum sp.
Lineage: Bacteria; Pseudomonadati; Pseudomonadota; Alphaproteobacteria; Rhodospirillales; Azospirillaceae
Description: bacterial SSU rRNA
Rfam family: Bacterial small subunit ribosomal RNA
Source: RNAcentral
UGCAGUCGAACGAAGGCUUCGGCCUUAGUGGCGCACGGGUGAGUAACACGUGGGAACCUGCCUUUCGGUUCGGAAUAACGUCUGGAAACGGACGCUAACACCGGAUACGUCCUUCGGGGGAAAGUUUACGCCGAGAGAGGGGCCCGCGUCGGAUUAGGUAGUUGGUGUGGUAACGGCGCACCAAGCCGACGAUCCGUAGCUGGUCUGAGAGGAUGAUCAGCCACACUGGGACUGAGACACGGCCCAGACUCCUACGGGAGGCAGCAGUGGGGAAUAUUGGACAAUGGGCGCAAGCCUGAUCCAGCAAUGCCGCGUGAGUGAUGAAGGCCUUAGGGUUGUAAAGCUCUUUCGCACGCGACGAUGAUGACGGUAGCGUGAGAAGAAGCCCCGGCUAACUUCGUGCCAGCAGCCGCGGUAAUACGAAGGGGGCUAGCGUUGUUCGGAAUUACUGGGCGUAAAGGGCGCGUAGGCGGCCUGUUUAGUCAGAAGUGAAAGCCCCGGGCUCAACCUGGGAAUAGCUUUUGAUACUGG